GGGUUGUGAGGUUAAGCGAAUAAGCGUACACGGUGGAUGCCUAGGCAGUCAGAGGCGAUGAAGGACGUGCUAAUCUGCGAUAAGCGCCGGUAAGGUGAUAUGAACCGUUAUAACCGGCGAUUUCCGAAUGGGGAAACCCAGUGUGAUCCGUCACACUAUCAUUACCUGAAUACAUAGGGUAAUGAAGCGAACCGGGAGAACUGAAACAUCUAAGUACCCCGAGGAAAAGAAAUCAAACGAGAUUCCCCCAGUAGCGGCGAGCGAACGGGGAGCAGCCCAGGACCUUAAUCAGCAUCAGUGUUAAGAGAACAGUCUGGAAAGGCUGGCCACAGCAGGUGAUAGCCCUGUAUCUGAAAGCACUGGUGUUGUGAGUCCGAUGAGUAAGGCGGGACACGUGUUAUCCUGUCUGAAUACGGGGGGACCAUCCUCCAAGGCUAAAUACUCCUGACUGACCGAUAGUGAACCAGUACCGUGAGGGAAAGGCGAAAAGAACCCCGGCGAGGGGAGUGAAAAAGAACCUGAAACCGUGUACGUACAAGCAGUGGGAGCACCCUUCGG
This 558-nucleotide ribosomal RNA is filed under the name Escherichia coli. Its description in RNAcentral is "partial 23S ribosomal RNA". It matches the Rfam family "Bacterial large subunit ribosomal RNA", at positions 1 to 591 of the family's 2925-position model. The record is from RNAcentral. Lineage: Bacteria; Pseudomonadati; Pseudomonadota; Gammaproteobacteria; Enterobacterales; Enterobacteriaceae.